CAGACCUUGACAUGCCGGUCGCGGAUUAGAGAGAUCUUUUCCUUCAGUUCGGCUGGACCGUGCACAGGUGCUGCACGGCUGUCGUCAGCUCGUGUCGUGAGAUGUUGGGUUAAGUCCCGCAACGAGCGCAACCCUCAUCACUAGUUGCCAGCAGUUCGGCUGGGCACUCUAGCGAAACUGCCGGGGUCAACCCGGAGGAAGGUGGGGAUGACGUCAAGUCUUCAUGGCCCUUACGGUCUGGGCUACACACGUGCUACAAUGGUAGUGACAAUGCGCAGCUACUCCGCGAGGAGAUGCUAAUCGCCAAAAACUAUCUCAGUUCGGAUUGGACUCUGCAACUCGAGUCCGUGAAGUCGGAAUCGCUAGUAAUCGUAGAUCAGCAUGCUACGGUGAAUACGUUCCC
This 403-nucleotide ribosomal RNA is filed under the name uncultured bacterium. RNAcentral describes it as "bacterial SSU rRNA". It matches the Rfam family "Bacterial small subunit ribosomal RNA", at positions 975 to 1375 of the family's 1533-position model. The record is from RNAcentral.